CCUACGGGAGGCAGCAGUGGGGAAUAUUGGUCAAUGGGGGAAACCCUGAACCAGCCAAGCCGCGUGAAGGAUGACUGCUUUCGGAUUUUAAACUCCUUUUGUUAGAGAAGAUAAUGACGGUACCUAAAGCAUAAUCACCGGCCAACUCCGUGCCGGCAGCCGCGGUAAUACGGAGGGUGCAAGGGUUACUCGGAAUUACUGGGCGUAAAGAGCGCGUAGGCGGGUUAGCAAGUCAGAUGGGAAAUCCUAUGGCUUAACCAUAGAACUGCAUUUGACACUGUUAUUCUAGAGUAUGGGAGAGGUAGGUGGAAUUCUUGGGGUAGGGGUAAAAUGCUUAGAGAUAAAGAGGAACACUGAUUGCGAAGGCGACCUGCUAGAACAUAACUGACGCUGAUGCGCGAAAGCGUGGGGAGCAAACAGGAUUAGAUACCCGUGUAGUC
Molecule: ribosomal RNA, 440 nt
Filed under: uncultured bacterium
Lineage: Bacteria
Description: partial 16S ribosomal RNA
Rfam family: Bacterial small subunit ribosomal RNA
Source: RNAcentral